GAAAUGUAUGUCUUACACAGAUUCUAUACACCUGAUUGCUGCAAUAAAGUUACAAAAAAUUUUUUAAAAUGUUCUUGCUAAAUUUUCUGGCAUUAAGCAAUGAGAAAUCAUUUGGGAAAUUCUAACUGACCUAAAACAAAGAGAAAUUUGGUCUUAUUUAACUGCAAACAGUAAGAAAAUUUUUUUAUGUGUUUUUUAAUUAUCUUUAAACAGUUGGUUUCAACUGUUUACAGUUGAAACCAACUGUUUCAACUGUUCAGAGUUGCAUAAACUUUCCAAGUUUAUGCUCUGAAUCAAGCGCUAGAUUGCACUUUAUUACUAAACUGUGCAGCUUUUAUAUACAAAAAUCAAGCACUUUCCAAACAUUGAAAGCAUCCAAUUGAAAUCUCUACUUUUUGGAGGAUGAAUGUUGGGAUCCCCCAGAUCUCAAACCCUGUGCUUCUGAACUGACACCCAAAGAACUGGAGCGCAGACGUUGUGGAUGUAGGACAGCAGCCAGAAAACAAGGAGGAGGAAGUUUAAAUCACCGCUUCCCAAGGUUUACUCUUCAACUGGAAUGUGAGAUCUCUGAAUACAAAAACUGCAGUACUAUAA
Long non-coding RNA from Xiphophorus couchianus (Monterrey platyfish), 594 nucleotides. RefSeq lists it as uncharacterized. The record is from RefSeq and is a predicted model, not a curated record. The transcript is spliced from 2 exons. Lineage: Eukaryota; Metazoa; Chordata; Actinopteri; Cyprinodontiformes; Poeciliidae.